This 468-nucleotide ribosomal RNA is filed under the name uncultured bacterium. Its description in RNAcentral is "partial 16S ribosomal RNA". It matches the Rfam family "Bacterial small subunit ribosomal RNA", at positions 28 to 507 of the family's 1533-position model. The record is from RNAcentral.
GACGAACGCUGGCGGCGUGCUUAACACAUGCAAGUCGAACGGAAAGGCCCUGCUUUUGUGGGGUGUUCGAGUGGCGAACGGGUGAGUAACACGUGAGUAACCUGCCCUUGACUUUGGGAUAACUUCAGGAAACUGGGGCUAAUACCGGAUAGGAGCUCCUGCUGCAUGGUGGGGGUUGGAAAGUUUCGGCGGUUGGGGAUGGACUCGCGGCUUAUCAGCUUGUUGGUGGGGUAGUGGCUUACCAAGGCUUUGACGGGUAGCCGGCCUGAGAGGGUGACCGGCCACAUUGGGACUGAGAUACGGCCCAGACUCCUACGGGAGGCAGCAGUGGGGAAUAUUGCACAAUGGGCGGAAGCCUGAUGCAGCAACGCCGCGUGCGGGAUGACUGCCUUCGGGUUGUAAACCGCUUUCGCCUGUGACGAAGCGUGAGUGACGGUAAUGGGUAAAGAAGCACCGGCUAACUACGUG